Molecule: RNA transcript, 438 nt
Organism: Rhincodon typus (whale shark)
Lineage: Eukaryota; Metazoa; Chordata; Chondrichthyes; Orectolobiformes; Rhincodontidae
Source: RefSeq, a predicted model, not a curated record
GAUUGUACUGUUUUGUUUUGUAGUUUGAGUGCCAAAACAGAGGAGCUCAAAACUCCCAAGAUUUACACAAAAACAGGAGACAAAGGGUUUUCCAGCACCUUCACUGGGGAGCGUAGGCGAAAGGAUGAUAUUGUAUUUGAAGCUUUGGGCAGUACAGAUGAAUUGACAUCUGCAAUUGGGCUGGCAGUUGAAUUCUGCCUGGAGCAAGGUUUUGAGUUUGAGAAGGAACUUUACAAGAUCCAGUGUGUGUUGCAGGAUGUUGGAUCCAACGUAGCUACUCCCAUUUCUUCUGCACGAGAGAGCCAUCUUAGUAAGGAAUUUAAAGGAAAUCAGUUAAGGCUGAUGUAAUUUUAAUCUUCUGGUCCUAUAGAACCUGUGUUUUUCCUUUGCAUCCUCUUUUCUAGAUGCACACUAUCUGAUUGAUAGUGAACAGGCUGU